Molecule: long non-coding RNA, 921 nt
Organism: Dreissena polymorpha
Lineage: Eukaryota; Metazoa; Mollusca; Bivalvia; Myida; Dreissenidae
Exons: 3
Source: RefSeq, a predicted model, not a curated record
CCAGGUACAUCAUGGCCCUCUUGUUACUACUCCAGUGAGCGCCCCCAGGUAUAUCAUGGCCCUCUUGUUACUACUCCAGUGAGCGCCCCCAGGUACAUCAUGGCCCUCUUGUUACUACUCCAGUGGGCGCCCCCAGGUACAUCAUGGCCCUCUUGUUACUACUCCAGUGAGCGCCCCCAGGUACAUCAUGGCCCUCUUGUUACUACUCCAGUGAGCGCCCCCAGGUACAUCAUGGCCCUCUUGUUACUACUCCAGUGAGUGCCCCCAGGUACAUCAUGGCCCUCUUGUUACUACUCCAGUGAGCGCCCCCAGGUACAUCAUGGCCCUCUUGUUACUACUCCAGUGAGCGCCGCCAGGUACAUCAUGGCCCUCUUGUUACUACUCCAGUGGGCGCCCCCAGGUACAUCAUGGCCCUCUUGUUACUACUCCAGUGAGCGCCCCCAGGUACAUCAUGGCCCUCUUGUUACUACUCCAGUGAGCGCCCCCAGGUACAUCAUGGCCCUCUUGUUACUACUCCAGUGAGCGCCCCCAGGUACAUCAUGGCCCUCUUGUUACUACUCCAGUGAGCGCCCCCAGGUACAUCAUGGCCCUCUUGUUACUACUCCAGUGAGCGCCCCCAGGUACAUCAUGGCCCUCUUGUUACUACUCCAGUGAGCGCCCCUAGGUACAUCAUGGCCCUCUUGUUACUCAGAGAACAUCAGCCCAGUAGGGGACUGCUGUUUAGUCUGCUGCAAAGUUUUUGUUAUUUGAGUCCCAUAUUGAUAGUGCAUCUUCAGCAGACACACAUUUGUAUAGUGAUACGAGUAAAAAGAUGUCUGUUAACACUCAGAUUCUGUAAGUUCCAUGUCAUUGAGCUGUCAAAUGCCAUUGUGUAUUGGCUAACAUGUUGGUUGGAAUGUAAUUCACAAUAUUUACCAUCAU